GAUGAACGCUGGCGGCGUGCUUAACACAUGCAAGUCGAACGUGAAGAAGCAGCAAUGUUUCUGAAAGUGGCGGACGGGUGAGUAACACGUGGGUGACCUGCCCUGCAGAGGGGGAUAACGAGGGGAAACCUUCGCUAAUACCGCAUAGGCUUACACCGAUGGGAAUGGUGUGGGUAAAACUGAGGUGCUGCAAGAGGGGCCUGCGUCCGAUUAGCUAGUUGGUGAGGUAAUGGCUCACCAAGGCGAUGAUCGGUAGCUGGUCUGAGAGGACGAUCAGCCACACGGGAACUGAGAAACGGUCCCGACUCCUACGGGGGGCAGCAGUGAGGAAUAUUGGGCAAUGGACGAAAGUCUGACCCAGCAACGCCGCGUGGAGGAUGAAGGUUUUUGGAUUGUAAACUCCUUUUGUGGGGAAGAGUGAGGACGGUACCCCAAGAAUAAGUCACGGCUAACUACGUGCCAGCAGCCG
This 469-nucleotide ribosomal RNA is filed under the name uncultured bacterium. RNAcentral's name for it is "bacterial SSU rRNA". It matches the Rfam family "Bacterial small subunit ribosomal RNA", at positions 28 to 517 of the family's 1533-position model. The record is from RNAcentral.